Sorex araneus (European shrew) is the source of this 1813-nucleotide RNA transcript. It is a transcript of the gene named C-type lectin domain family 2 member D-like, with no coding region annotated. NCBI's taxonomy places the organism in Eukaryota, Metazoa, Chordata, Mammalia, Eulipotyphla, Soricidae. The record is from RefSeq and is a predicted model, not a curated record. The transcript has 6 exons.
AGGAUUGUUGAAAUUUUAGUCUCCAGAUCUCAUUUUAGCAAGUCUACUCUUUUUCUCUAAAGCAGAUGGUUGUACUGGCGGCACAGCCUAACUUGAGGGAGACCCCGAUAUUUGAUCCCUUAAUUCAAGUUCCUUCCCUGCAGGAUGCAGCUGCUGUCGACAAAGAGGAGACAAUGGUGGUGGAGGACUCACCAAAAGAAAUGCAGAAAUGUUGUUACUUACCGGAACAUCACAGAUGCUUGCUUUUCAGUGGAAAGGAACAAUUUGGUGCUCAAAACCAAGAAAAAUGUAGAACAACUCAACCUUCUGAAACUCUUCACAGACUUCCUUUCCGCUUCAUCACUAUGAUUUUGAUCAUAGUAAUAAUAGUGGUUCCACUUUCUGUUACUUUGACAGUAAGAAAAGAAAGAACAGUCUCAGAAGUGCCUGUGCAACUCGCCUGCCCACUGCCGUGGAUUGGAUUUGGAAACAAGUGCUUUUAUUUUUCUGAAGAAACAGAGAACUGGACAUUCAGCAGGACUGUCUGUGACUCAUUGGGAGCUCAUCUUGUUCAGAUUGACACCUCAGAGGAACUCGUAAGAAUUGGACACCAGGGAGACAGUACAAGAAUUUUCCUGAGAAGAUACAAAGGCCCCGAUGACCAUUGGAUAGGCCUUCACAGGGAAUCACCAAGUCAAUCUUGGAAAUGGAUAAAUACUACUAGUGACAACAUAGUGUUUCAGGUCAGUGGAACUGGGGAAUGUGCCUACUUGAAUGACAAAGGCGUGAGCAGUGCCAGGAUUUACUCAGACAGAAAAUGGAUUUGUAGCAAACCCAGUGUCUCCACCUGUCAAAUUGCUUCAAAGUUAUGAGCAGAAAAGCUGCAUUGUGCUUGUUAUCUACAGUUGCUGAAUGCUUUUCAGCCAGUUGUAAAAGUAUUGGAGCCUGACCAGAGUCAUGAGGAAGUCCCAGGUAUUUCAGGUAUAAUAGCUGGAAGCUGCCAGAAACUCUACCACCAGCAACCUGCCUGGGACUUGUUAGAAAUGCAGAACUUCUAGAAACAGCCCAGAUGCAGUGAAUUAAAAUCGACAGUGUCACAAGAUGUCUACGCAAUUUGUGAGAUAUUAAAGCUUCCAACUGCAAUCAUGAGGGUCAGACUCCAUGGCUGGACAAUGCACACAGGUGGUGGAGAGAAGAGAAUUUUUGUUUUAUUAAAUUAUGGGGUCACACUCGGCAACUUUCAGGACUCACUCCAGACUCAGCACUCAAGAAUCAUCGUUCACAUCUUCUCAAGAUGGAGCCCCGGCGACACUGAGCAGCAACUAACAUGGCUCCGGGAUGCAGGACUGGGACAGCUCUGAACCACGGGGAGGCACUGGAGUGGGGCGGCGCCAGCCCAGCCUCCAUGUGGCCCCAGCCGCCGGAAGUCACGCCCCCGACCCACCCUCAGCGCCAUCUUGCCACAUUCAACAGAGAAGAAGCCGGGUGUUCUGGUGAGCAACGUGGCCGGAUAAUGCUCCGGACCUGAGACUGGGCCAGCAACACCGGGGAUCCAGACGGAGGAGGUACAGCCAGCACACCUUCUCCAGAUGUAGCCCCAGCGACACUGAGCAGCAACUAACACAGCUCCGGGAUGCGGGACUGGGACAGCUCCGCAUUAGCGGCUGCACAACCUUUUCUAAAAACUGAAAACAUACAAUCUUUUAAUGGAAAACUAAUUAUUAAAUGCUUCCUUGGUAGUAGGGCUGUCGUUCUUGGGGGGAAACUCCAACAACAAUAGUGAUUUUUGUGUUGAAAUAUGGAAAGUAAUCAAGGUAAAGAGAAAAUGAAGUGA